Myripristis murdjan (pinecone soldierfish) is the source of this 1427-nucleotide long non-coding RNA. RefSeq lists it as uncharacterized. The record is from RefSeq and is a predicted model, not a curated record. Lineage: Eukaryota; Metazoa; Chordata; Actinopteri; Holocentriformes; Holocentridae. The transcript has 3 exons.
CCAAUUCACAGUUUGGAAGAUGAAAAAAUAAGGGAAUUACCAAGGAAACUGAUAAGCUAAAAUCGCUCUUAUCAGCAGAACACCACGACUUACAUCCACCUGAAACGGCUUCCUGGAAGCUGGAGCCGCUAUUUACUGUGGUGGGGGUGCAUAACUCAGUAUUGUGUUUACUGCAGCAAAACCAUUUCCAGACAGGGAAAAAUUUUCUCCUCCUGGCUUACAAUAAUAAGUCGAACGGCUCUAAAUCAGAGGCCACAUAAGUUGCAAACCGCUGAAUACACUUGAUGUGCGGAUGUCGUCUGGCAGCGGCUACCAGAGAAACCUCUGACUUUACUCCUUCAGCGAUUAUGAAACACAAGAUCUCAGGCUUUCUUUCCAGGAAUCGUGGGCGAAGAGGAGAGCGCUCCAAGUCGGCCCCGGCGCUACACUGAGUCCCUGUGUCAGGGCGGUGACCUCACCGAGCAGGAAUGGCGCACAGCGAGGUUUGCUCCAGCAGCACAGGCUCUGACAAAAGGGCCAUGCGGUCCUGUGCGUCCGCGCCGGGAACACAGGAGACCCCAGGCGCUGUUGGAGUCCAGCUCCACCGCCUCUCCUGCCAAGCCGUUAGAGAGACGGGACACCUCUCCUGCACCGCCGCGCUCCCUCGCCCUCCAGUGGUGGGGUUUCUGGGAAAACACACUUUUUGGGACUUCUUGCACUUUCAGAUUCAUGUAAACAAAAAUAAACCAUCCAACAAUAAAAACGGUGAGGUUGGGCUCUCAGCUCUGUUUGUUUAAUGAGCCACACCGACUUUUUGGAAGAUUAUAACAGGAUCAAAUCAUCUGUGCCAAUAUCUGCAGUGUUGCUGACAUCACAUCCUGCUGCCAGCUAGCGGAAAUGCUGGUCACCUGAACGCCACGUUUACUGGGGAGACUGGGAUGGUUUGUUGCUAGUCCUUUUGUCACAUACUGGAUUUGGAAACCAACACCCAAAAUUUGUUGUAGUGCUUUAAACGGGACACUUUCCUCAUUGGUGUCCUCACUAGAUGACGACUUCAGCAACAGAGGGACUAAAGAUAAAGACAAUCCGUCAGAAGUUGUGAGUCUGCUGCCCUCCAGUGUGACAACGUCCACACACCUCCACAGAGCAACAUGUCCAGAGGCAUCAUGGGAGUCAGGCCAGCUUUACAGUCUGCAUGCCUUGAUAAAUGCAAAAGAAUGCGAUGUGGAAAAACCCAGGUUUCCUCAUUGCCUUGAAAAUGCAAGACGACUGAACUGGUCCAAGUUCAUCAGCUUGUCCUGAUGUCAGAAAUAAAGCCAGAUAAUGCUGCAAAGUCUGCUAAAAGCUUUCUUAUUUAACUUUAACAUUAAUUUAGUAAAUGUCUAUGUCUGUAAAUGCAUUCAUGUACACAGAUUUUUGACUUUUUACAGCAUGUGCAUGUAUUCAUC